CUUUGUUUCUUUGCAGGUGCUGUCGCCGUUCUCAGCGUGCCAAGGAACGGAGGCGAGCGGGUGUCUUCCGGGCAGACUCUGGAGUCAAAUCAAGAUUUGAGGUACCAUGAGGAGGUUUGUAGCCAAAGUUCGGAAAGAGCAGCACCGAAGCGCACGACAACGUCUCAGCGUCCGCGUCCAACCGGCGAUGGAUUUUGUCAGCUCGUCUUCCCAAAGCUAAGUGUCGGGGCCCAUACUUGCGGGGAGGGAAAAAGCCUUUACUCUCACAUGGGGCAAUUUGAUGUUAGCUUAGCGGAGCAGUCUGUAGUGGAACAGGUCCCUCGGAAGUAAAGGGAGAGGGUUUCUCCUGGCCUCACCAGAGCCUUUGCCGGGCAGGGCAGUUCCGACCCGUCUCCACGUUCUCGCGAACUUUGCGUCGUCUGCCUCCUUCAACCCUCGAUGUCGUUGUGGAUCUUUCUCCCGAGGAGCUCGCCUUCAGGUCCGGAGCUAUAGCCACCAUCACCCGGCAGUCUUCGCUUCCUUCUCUAGGCCCACCCAGCCUCCCGAGCAUCCUCUUAACUGCUUUGGCAGCACUUCCUUUUAAGGAGCUGUUUCAUCAUCACACACUCUUGCCAUAGGACUCGCUUUCCUUCGGCAUCUUUGGCCUCUGGCUCAUCUCACACUAGAAAUCUUGAAUCCAUAAGGUGUAACUGCCAGGCGGUUUCCACUCGUGUCUGUGUCCU
Passer domesticus (house sparrow) is the source of this 722-nucleotide long non-coding RNA. RefSeq lists it as uncharacterized. Lineage: Eukaryota; Metazoa; Chordata; Aves; Passeriformes; Passeridae. The record is from RefSeq and is a predicted model, not a curated record. The transcript has 3 exons.